Drosophila miranda is the source of this 862-nucleotide long non-coding RNA. RefSeq lists it as uncharacterized. NCBI's taxonomy places the organism in Eukaryota, Metazoa, Arthropoda, Insecta, Diptera, Drosophilidae. The transcript has 10 exons. The record is from RefSeq and is a predicted model, not a curated record.
UUUUUGUACAUCACUAAUAAGAAUAAGAACUAUUCUUUCUAUUUCCGCAGCGGCCAUCAUGAGCAGUUGGUUUUCAAUUCUGAUUACAAAUGCCACAUGCCGAAGAGCAUUUUUCCUCGAAUUUGAUGAAAGUAUAAUUAAAUGUUAUAUCUCUCAUUGCAUUUACAGAACGCAGAACGAAUGCGGUCGCUUGCAUUGUCAGCAGUUUGAUGGUGAUUACAAUGUAGUCCAAUAUUAUUAUGGAGAUCCACCGGCCUGGUGCUGCUGUGGUCCCACUGUGUGCUGUGUGUUGCCGGAGCAAUAGUAAGGUGGCUCAGCAUGAGGAAAUUCUGGGAAAAGCUACUCCUAUUUAAAUGAUUCCACUUACAUUACCGAAUCGGGGACACAAAGAACCCGCCACUGAUUUAAGAAUUCUUGCAACCAAUAAUGAUGUGUUGAUGUGAUGGUGGCCUAAGAAAAUUGGAAACCUCGGCUACUCCUUCGUUCGGUGGUUGUUCAGCUCAGGCAGUCCCAUAGAGAUGAGAAGUUACUCCUUGUGGACCCAGUAGCGGAUUGUGAUCAGGACGAUUGCUUUUUAUGAUAAGAAAAGGCAUGCGGCCUUCAUCUACAGGAAUCAAAAUGACUAUGCUGAAUGAAUGAAUGGCUUUAUUUUGGAAAUAUAUGGAAAGAUUCUUGAGGAAACCAAUUUAUAAAUGGAUUUAAUUUGAGUUUGAACCAUUGAUGCAUGGAUUGUGGCAUGGCCCUCUUGUGAGCUAAUGCCACUGGCAGAAUUCUGGAGAACAUCGACUGACUAAAAACUACCACAAUUAUUCCGUGAAUGUUAUCCCUAAUUGAUGAAUAAAAACAAAAGUUGUACUUGUAA